GACGCCCGAGUGCAACCGAAUGUUGCACGC
Molecule: small RNA, 30 nt
Filed under: Bombyx mori (domestic silkworm)
Lineage: Eukaryota; Metazoa; Arthropoda; Insecta; Lepidoptera; Bombycidae
Description: ovarian small RNA-15564
Source: RNAcentral